AUUGAACGCUGGCGGAAUGCUUUACACAUGCAAGUCGAGCGGCAGCGCGGGGGCAACCCUGGCGGCGAGCGGCGAACGGGUGAGUAACAUAUCGGAACGUACCCAGUCGUGGGGGAUAACUAUCCGAAAGGAUAGCUAAUACCGCAUACGUCCUGAGGGAGAAAGCGGGGGAUCGCAAGACCUCGCGCGAUUGGAGCGGCCGAUAUCGGAUUAGCUAGUUGGUGGGGUAAAGGCUCACCAAGGCGACGAUCCGUAGCGGGUCUGAGAGGACGACCCGCCACGCUGGAACUGAGACACGGUCCAGACUCCUACGGGAGGCAGCAGUGGGGAAUUUUGGACAAUGGGGGCAACCCUGAUCCAGCCAUUCCGCGUGAGUGAAGAAGGCCUCGG
Molecule: ribosomal RNA, 390 nt
Filed under: uncultured bacterium
Lineage: Bacteria
Description: bacterial SSU rRNA
Rfam family: Bacterial small subunit ribosomal RNA
Source: RNAcentral